Molecule: long non-coding RNA, 4647 nt
Filed under: Nilaparvata lugens (brown planthopper)
Lineage: Eukaryota; Metazoa; Arthropoda; Insecta; Hemiptera; Delphacidae
Description: uncharacterized LOC120353888
Source: RNAcentral
AUAGGGACACUUUUCGGCCAGCGAUGCAUCGAAUCAUGAAGUGAGGAAGAGCUUGGCAAACUCACUCCAUCUCAUUUCUUCCUCGAUUGUCCUCCUUUCAUUGAUUGUGGCUUUCAAUUAUGGCGCUUCACAGUAUGAACCAGAUUGCUGGAGGUGGAGAGAUACGUGACAACAUUUCUCAGUGCAAUGCAUCGAUGCUGAUAAGAGAUUACCAUCCUGAGAUGUGACUUGAGUCAUCGACCAGAGCCUUCAAGUGCGGCUCUUGACAGCUGUGAGCAGAGUGAGAGGAGAGGAGAAGAGCACAGCGAGCGAAGUGAGUUCUGAGCGGUUGCAUGGAGGAGGAUUGUCAUUUGGUUGCUGUUGCUAGAGUGAGAGAUGAGAUGGAGCGGACGCUGCAUUAUCAGGAGAUGGAGGAGAGAGAGAGACAGACGGCCUGCUCAAACGGAACAGUGGGAAGAAGAAAGAUAGAAGACACAGCAAAGAAGAUACAUUUUUACAAAAUAGUGGGACUCUAGUGUAAGAGUUUAUAUAAAGUGAAAACUAUAAACAUUGACAUUGAAAAGUUCAUAACAGUGAAUUAUUGACGUGAAGUGAUAAUGAAAAGACUCGAAUUUACUUCCAUUUUCAAAAGACGUUGAAUUGAUUUAUAUUUUGUUUGUGAUGUUGUUGAUAUUGUGCAUGUUUUGCUGUAAAUAAUAAAUGCCUGUGGGGUGGGUGUCCCAUGUGUGGGGUAUUUUCAGGCAUCGCGGAGGCAGCUGGACGGACGGAUUACGCAGAACUUCAAUCAAGGUAAAAGUCAGCACUCGACUGAUUGUAACAGUUCAAUCUAGUUAUUUUUCUAAAUUCUUAUUUCUUAAAGUUUUAUUUUGAAUUCAAUUUUUUCCAGAUCUGAAUCAUUUUCUCCUAUUUCAGUGAGUUAAUAAUAUCAUUAAUUCACUAAAAUAGGAGAAAAAUGAUCAAUCCUAAUCUAUUUAAAUACGAAAUUUUAUUCCUUUCUUCAAUUAUUGGUGAUAUUAAUGUCUUGUUGAACUGUUAGAUCGGUCCUGGGCGACUUGUGUGGAAUUGGUAAUAGCAUGUCUCGACCAUCACCCCCUAAGUCUUUUCUCAGCUUUUAUACUUUUGAAUUUGUUUUUAUUUUCAGUUGCUUCGACAUUUUUCUUUAGUUGUUUCCUUUUAUUUUUUUUUUUGAAUUUCUUCCUGCUUUUUAUUUGUUUCAGUUUCUUAUUUUCUGUUGCUUUGGAGGCGAACCUUCAGUUCAAAUUCAAUAUCGAAGUAUAUGUCGAUAAGGGAUGUUUUUUUAGUUUGUUUCUUUUGAUUUCUUCAAAACUGUCCCCAAUUUUAUUUUAGUUUUUUAUAUUCAGUUUGGGAUUUUUCUUCAGUUGUUUUUUUUCAUUUCUUUUAAACUAUCUCCAUCUACUUAGAAUUUUUUAUAUUUAUUGUAAUAAAUAUAUUUAAAUUAGAUUGUAAAUUUCUGGGGUGCUGCCACACUGUUUGCUUUUUUCAGGAGGAAAUCGUCGUCAUCAUUUAUUUGCUUAUUGUUUUUGUCUUUGCUGUGUGUUGUUGCAUCUCUCAAAAUAUUGUUAGUGAACUAUUUUCAAUUAUUUCUAUUGUAAUACGUUUAUACAUUGUAAAGUGUAAUUUGUAUGUACUCCCUUCCUUCUCAUUGCACCGUCCAUUCAUAUUUCUAACUUCAAUUCACUUUAUUUUUUUUCAAUUUCAUUUCCAACUUUUUUCUUGGCUUCCCGAUGGUUCAACCCCCACCUUAACCUGUAGGUCCACUCAUCUCUCAUCAUUAUCCAUUCUAUUACCCACGCACAAGCCUAGAGCUCAUGUGGGCAUUAUCCACCAUCCAAUUCAUUUCUUUCAAAAACUGUCAUUUUAAAUUCCUCAAUAAUUGUUUUACUAUUUCUGACCACCUUUCCUCUAAACUUAUCUUUCCCGCACUAUAAAUGCUUUACUCUCAAAUUGUAAACCCCUAAAUCUGAAUUAAUAUCAAAAUUAAGUUCUCAAUCUUCAGUGUAACCUGAAUCUUUGACUAUUUGAAGAGCCUUCUCUGCUAAGAAUAAUUUUAAUCUCACUUAAUAAUAAUUAAAAUCCCACUCAAUAAUAUAAUAAUCUUGAAUCACUUGAAGCUUUAGAUCCACUUACCUCCCAUUAUCAUUCUUCCUAUUUCACCCACGCACAAGCCUGUAACUUAUGUAGGAAUCAUAUUCUGUUGAAAAAUCUAUUUUAAAAUCAUUUUAAAUCUAAAUUUCAAUUCAUUUUGAAAUGUUAAUUUACAUUUCUUUCACCUACCACAUUGUCAUUAAUUUUACUCCCAUUUUAGUAAUCACUUGCAAUCAAUCAUUAGUUUCUUUACCUUAUUUCACAUUCACCAAUAUUCCCAAGUUUAUACCUCUAGUUACUGCUUUGUCGGCUCUUUAUUAUCAAUCUCUCUGUCUCAUUCUAUUAUUGUUUGUCUCACCACCAUUCCUUACUAAUUUUACUUGUCUCCCCCCCACCUUACCUAUUAAUCCUUAGACUGGGCGCACACCAGUUAGUCAAGACAAGACAUGAUGAGACACGAUCAGUCACAACACUUCACAUUGUUGCUUAUGGAGUCAUGUCUAAUUGCAAUGACUAAUCAGUGUGAGUUGCAUCAUAAGCAACUAUGUGAAGUAUUGUGUCUGAACAUGUCUUGUCUUGACUAAUCGGUGUAAUCCCAGCCUUACUGACCUUAACUCGCAUUCCUUAGUCACUCCACUUGCCUCCCCCCCCUGCUAUCUACAUAAAAUUAUUCUUCCCCUUCCUGUCAUCCAAAUGGAUUUAUUUCAGUUGUAGUUAACUUUUUCUUCUCUCAUAUUGUCUUGUAUCUCACUUCUUGUUCACUUUCUAAUUUACAUAAUAUGCGUUCAAGGGAUUCUUAAUUGGAAUAAAGGGGGUUAAUGAUUAUUUUUCUACAAUUUGCAAUAUUGUGACAGAUGCAACAGCACUAGUGUGGUAGCACUCUUAGCUUAUAUUAUAUUGUCCCCCCCUCUCUCAUGGUCUAGACAUGCACUUACCAAUACCAUUGAUUUAUUCCUCUUCUGGAGGGGAACCACUCUUUUUUGCCCCCUCAGGGGAACUGUCCCUUUCCCUUUUGGGGGGGGGGAGGGAAAGCCCCCUGUGGGGGAUUUGUCCCUCUCCCUUCUGGGGAGGGAAAACUGUCACUUGGUUGGCUCUGAGUGGUCCAGUUAGGCUCAAUGCGCCCUUUGGCGUGGGUGGGACCACUCACUACAUUGGGUGGGGGGGGCAGGACCACAUGGAGCCAGGUGCCAGUAUUGGACGUUGAGGUUAGUGCCCGGUUUUUUUGUGGGCCUAUCCGACAGUGAACGUUUCACUGUAAACCUGAAUCUUGAGAACGAGGACAAGAAGGGAAUAAAAAAAAAUUGGAAUUUUUUUUGCUUUGUAUAUGGUUGGUAAAGGGUAUGUAUAUACUAGAAUAAAAACAAUGUGUGUGUGUAUAUAUAUGUAUAAAUAAUCAAUAAAUACAUAAAAAUCUCACAUGUGUAUUGCUAUCCUUACUAUCCUAUCCUAGACUACUAGAGAAGAAAAAGAAAGAACGCCAAAUUUGGCAUUCCCAGCUAUACAGGAUGAGUUAUGCGGCUUCAAACAUGAAAUUUGCAAAUUUUCAAACGGCCAUAUCUAAUGAACGGUAAGGAAUUUCGCCAAUGUGAUGACAUUAUAUUGUUUCUCUCGUCAAAUAUUAUAUCAUUGCUGAGAGUUUUAGCGAUUUUAAUUAAUUUUUGGAUUCAUGAAAAAUGAAUCCGUUACCUGUUGCUUUUUUCUGCUGUGCUGUUCUAAUUCUCAUCCAAUACAAAUGAGCUCAGUAGUCACAAAAAUCCUGAGAAAUUUGAAUUUCCCGCUCAAAUCAGUCAGUACCUCUUGCAUGUUUCUGUUGCCCUGGUAGUAUUUUAGUUGGUUUUAAUUCUGUACCAGGGAGUCAGAACACUUGAAGAGGUAGCAGGUUUUUCAACGCCUUCCAAUGCAAGCAUAGGCAACCCGCAACACUGAUCUACUUUGUGUACCUCUUGCAUGUUUCUGAUGCCCUGGUAGAAAUCUGGUCAUUUCUAAGAUGCAAAUGAGCUACUAUUUGAGCGGGAAAUUCAAAUUUCUCAUGAUUAGCGGGAAAUUCAAAUUUCUCAUAAUUUAUACUAUUUGAGCGGGAAAUUCAAAUGUCUCAUGAUUAGCGGGAAAUUCAAAUUUCUCAUGAUUUAUACUAUUUGAGCGGGAAAUUCAAAUUUCUCAUGAUUUAUGUUACUACUGAGCUCAUUUGUAUUAUAGAAUUGUAACAGGAAGUUAAAACAUAGCAAGUGGUAACUGAGACAUUAUACCGAUUAUUGCUUACACACAUUAAAUACUAUAUGUGUUUAGUUCAGUUGAUAAUGUGUUUUUUUAUUUUCAAUUUCAUCAAAUGUAAGACUAAUUUGGUACCAAAAUCAAACAAAUCCGACCAUCCUUUCGGAGUUUCCAAGAUAAUUUACAUCAUUUACACAUUGGGGUGUCCAGGACCACAUGGAGCCGGGUGCCAGUAUUGGACGUUGAGGCUAGUGCCCGGUUUUUUUUUGUGGGCCUAUCCGACAGUGAACGUUUCACUGUAAACCUGAAUCUAGGACAAGGAGGGAAAAU